UACGAAGGGGGCUAGCGUUGCUCGGAAUCACUGGGCGUAAAGCGCACGUGGGCGGAUUUCUAAGUCAGGGGUGAAAUCCUGGAGCUCAACUCCAGAACUGCCUUUGAUACUGGGAAUCUCGAGUCCGGGAGAGGUGAGUGGAACUGCGAGUGUAGAGGUGAAAUUCGUAGAUAUUCGCAAGAACACCAGUGGCGAAGGCGGCUCACUGGCCCGGUACUGACGCUGAGGUGCGAAAGCGUGGGGAGCAAACAGG
Molecule: ribosomal RNA, 253 nt
Filed under: uncultured bacterium
Lineage: Bacteria
Description: partial 16S ribosomal RNA
Rfam family: Bacterial small subunit ribosomal RNA
Source: RNAcentral